UACGGGGGGAGCAAGCGUUGUUCGGAUUUACUGGGCGUAAAGGGCGCGUAGGCGGUCGUGACAAGUCACUUGUGAAAUCUCCGGGCUUAACUCGGAACGGUCAAGUGAUACUGUCGGACUAGAGUACAGAAGGGGCAACUGGAAUUCUCGGUGUAGUGGUGAAAUGCGUAGAGAUCGGCAGGAACACCCAGGGGGAAACCAGUCGACUGGGCAUCUACUGACGCUGAGGUGCGAGAGCGUGGGGAGCGAACCGG
RNAcentral lists this ribosomal RNA (254 nucleotides) under uncultured bacterium. RNAcentral's name for it is "partial 16S ribosomal RNA". It matches the Rfam family "Bacterial small subunit ribosomal RNA", at positions 524 to 776 of the family's 1533-position model. The record is from RNAcentral.